This is a long non-coding RNA of Ochotona curzoniae (black-lipped pika), 493 nucleotides long. RefSeq lists it as uncharacterized. The record is from RefSeq and is a predicted model, not a curated record. The transcript has 2 exons. NCBI's taxonomy places the organism in Eukaryota, Metazoa, Chordata, Mammalia, Lagomorpha, Ochotonidae.
GACUCACUAGGAUGAAGAUUCCUUGGCCCUGGCACAGCUUACCAUUAAGGCAGCCUCAUGAUUUAUCAUCCAAACUAGGAUACUUCAGAAGGACAGAAGGAUUAAUAUUAAUAAUUAUACCAGUGCAACAGGUAUAAAUGGUUUAGUUCUUGGCAAAUUAGGAUGGAUGCCCCACUUCCUAUAUCCCAACAGGCCCUAUUGUCUCACACAAAUGGACUCUCACAAGUGCUGGCUGAAUGAAGGAAUUAUUGACCAUAAGCAACACCAACAACGAGCAUGACCAACUAGGAUCAAGGCAAUCAGAGAAUACAGCAGAUCUGUAAUGAAUCUAAGGAGGCGAGGAGGAGCUAAGGAAGUCGGAGAUCUGAAGAAUACAUGUUAAGAACCAGUCCUCUCCAUUUUAUUAUUUGAGUUGAGUUUGGGGGAUAUAUUUGGGAAUUGAAGAAAUCAAUAGCUGCAUGAAUACCAUUAAACCCAUGACCCAUGAGCAAAA